Molecule: small RNA, 400 nt
Filed under: Histoplasma capsulatum
Lineage: Eukaryota; Fungi; Ascomycota; Eurotiomycetes; Onygenales; Ajellomycetaceae
Also listed under: 1 other name
Description: hypothetical RNA
Source: RNAcentral
UGGCUGUAAAGGUCGCAUGAAAUUGCGUAUAUACAGGGAUGUGGUAGCUGGGUGGAGGGCUGGGGGCACAAUACGAUCUGCGGCUUCUUCUCCUCCCAAGCCCUUAGGAGAAGGGGAGAGUUCCCGACCACCAUUUGCGACCGGGAACAAACUCUUGAAGCGUGCAUCGGCGGAUGGGUGCUUGCUGAGAUGGAGAUCUUCCGGCCUCUCGAUUCUGGAUUCAUCCAGGGGGACGGAGUGGGAUUCAGCAGCCCUGUUAUCUUCCUCGUUUGCCUCUUGGACGACGGUUGGUUCCGAUUGGGGUGUUGGUUCCGGUUCCCGAAGUCCCGCUUCAGUAUUUUCUAGGUUUGUACCUUGCAUUUCAGCGUCUCGAGGUGCAGCAGCAUCAACGAUUGGCACA